GCUAUGGCAACAGCGGCAGCCGGCGGCUGGGGAGGGGGAGCGGCGGGCGCGCCUCCGCCCGCCUGAAGCUGGCGGCAGCGGGCGGCCGGCGUCGGCUCCGCUCAACUUCGGCGAAGGGGCCGGCGUCGAGGCGGCGCUACCCCGGCGCGGCCAGCGGCCGCUCGCCUCAGCGUCGGCGGCGGGACGGGCGCGGGUGGCCGCGAUACACAGAGCACUAUGUCACUGGCAUCCUGGUUCAGGUGGAAUGAGCCCCCAAACCGCAUUUCCCAGAGGAACCCCACAGAAAUGGUGGUUGAGACGCUAAUGAUGGAGCUGAGCUGGCAGACCAAGCAGGCAGAGAAGCAGCAGCGAGAGCGGGAGAAUGAGUAUCGCAAGAUCAAGACUGGGGUGGACUACGGCUGGCUGGUCAGCUAUCCAAAGCAGAGCUAUGAUAUCAGCCCAGGAGAACGGCUGCAGCUGGAGGAUAUGUGUACCAAAAUACAUCCUUCCUACUGUGGGCCUGUCAUACUCAGAUUCCGGCAACUCAUUGCUGAAUAUGAACCAGAAGUGCAGGAAGUAUCCCGGCUUUUCCGCUCUGUCCUGCAGGAAGCUGCUGAAAAGAUCAAAGAGGAGGAAGAGGCCAAGAAGCUUGCCAGGCAAUGGAACACAAAGAACAAAACCAGCCUCUCCUUAACAACGUUUAAAUCCCGGUCCAGGAUUUCCCCGUUCAUCAGUGACAUCAAGACCAUCUCUGAGGAUGUGGAACGGGGCACCCAGCCCACCAGAAGGGUUUGGAGCAUGCCAGAAUUUCGGAAUGCCAAGGAUUACUGACUCUAUACUGAACAAGGUUUUUAGACAUCAAUCUUUCAAAAACCCAGUUAACCCUUUUUUAGCUCUACUGUCUCUUCUUUGUUCCAAAUCUCUCUUCCUGCCUGUCUCUCUUGGAAGCUGUGUCCAUAGUAACGGCUGCUGAUGCCCGCGGUGUGUGACAAUUUAUUACCAACCAUGCUAGCCUUUCCUUUAAUUUAGUAGCUAUUCAGUAACCUUAAGGGCAAGGCUUACCUCCUAUCUCAUUUUUAUUACUGCUUUCUUGUGGAAAAUGAAUUAGUUUUGUGAUGUCUGUCUUCUCCUUUCACCCUGCCCCAGCCUGGAUGUAGUUACCUAUAAAAGCUUUUGGCCCAAGCUAGUGAGAGCUGCUGGCUGGAGAAAUCUUGCUGAAAGCAAGACAGCCACUUACAUGAGUAAGGCUUGCAGGAUCAGGCCUGCGAGUUAAAGCUACUAUCUGAUCUGGAACUGAACUUCCUUUCCCAACUAAUAACCUUCCUCAGUGCUACAGGAAACUUCACAGGUAACCUCAGCACUGCUCUUGAUCAGCUUUUUGCUGACAAUUGGCAAUCCAACCCGAGUAGAAACACACCCAGUUUUUUUGAGAUGAAGACCAAUGUUAUUCCACAGCAACCAGUUUAUGCAUGCUCAGGUUUCUUGGGUAUUUUCUCUUUUGUGCAGGCAGAACCCCCUGAACCUUGUACCUGCAGAGUAGAUAGAAAUUUAACAACCUGCUGUAUAGAUAUACAGGUGGAUACAUCAGUGCUGUGACAAAUGCUGUUCUUGGUCCUCAGUGUUCUGUGUUGCUGAGGUAUAGCAGUAGAAUCAUGUUUGCCUGUAGCUGGCUGCUUGGAGACGGACUGUGACCUUCUGCAUUGUGUGUGCACCAGCAGGUACUGAAGCAGAGCUGGGGAGGUGGUUAGGAUGCAUGACUGCUGCACUGUCCUUGUGGUGCUCAUUUUUCUUAGGAAUGCUGUAGACUGAACUAUAAAUGAUCCUUUGGUCACAGCAUGUGGCACAACUACCCACCCAUGUUUGCCUUGUCCUAAUUCCACAUUUUGUGUGGCUAAAUUAGCAUUUUAGUUAAAAUCAGGAGUGUGCAACUCCUGACUGUCACCACCUACUGUGCUAUGGUCCAUGGCACUAAGCAGGUACAGUGGGCGGACUAGACUCCUUUUGGAUGAAGCUAACCCAAGUGAUCCAUUGCAGCUGGCUCACAGACCACAAAGCUGGACUAAGGCUCAUCUGAAGUAAACCCUCAUGAAACUUGCGUAGUGUGAACAUCAGGUCCUCACUGACAACUGUCUGACUCUACAGCUCUGCUCCUCCGGGCUGCACUAUUUUCUAGUGUAGAAAAAAACCCAUUUCUACACAGCCCUGAUGAGGCUCUCCGAUCUGUUCUUAGCCCUUCCUGAGAGCUAGACCAGUGUCUUCAUUCUUUAAGAUGAUGAAAAAGUGAAACAGCAGCACAACAUCAUAAAAAACCCAAGUGAAUAAGGAUCAUUCUAAAUCCUCAAUCAUUCUCUCAAAACUGAGCAAGGGUUUUGGUAUCAGCCCAGAGCAUCGCUGUUGCCCUACUGCUGAUAGCGUUAUGCUGUCCAAAGGACAUUGUUACACCUGGAGAAAAAGCAGUCCUAGACUUACUAUAAGUUCUAACAUGCAAUGGCAACACCUCUAUAGCAGCUCAGUGCACUGCUUAGCUUCGAGGGGCUAACACUCCUCAGAGUCAGUACUCAUCUGAGAGAGACUAGGCAGCCCUGCUUCCAUGACUUCUACAGACAAGCCUGGCCCACAGGCUGUGGUAGCCAGCAAAGGUGUGCAGGAAGUGAGGUUCCUCACCCAUAUCAGCAUAUAGUUUAGACAGCUAUCACACCGUGGGGAGUUGGAGUAAGCUUCACAGGAAAUACCUGUCUGCUGAGAUUGCACUGUUUAUACAUUUCAUCACAGAACCUCAGAAAAUUAAAGCAAAGCUGUGAAAUAUAAAACAAUUUUUUUGUACUUGUUGUCUUUAAUUAAAGAUCUCCUGAAAUAUAAUCUGUCUGCAUGUAGCCAAACACAACAGCUGUUCCACUGCCCUACUGUGCACUGUGUAUGUAUCAAAGGAGGAAGGCAAGAAUGGUAAAGGCACUUGAUCUAAACAAACAACCCCAUCCUCUCUCUUACAGGCUACAAAUGCAGCCACCUACCUUCUAUCUUGCUACCUCUACAAACAGAUCCCAACAUUUAAGGUGAUAAAUAACCAGGAUUAAACAAGCGCAAAGGUCCGAAAUUCUCUGAAGUUAAGUGGUUUACAGAUACAACCUUGAACUGAAGUCUUCAUCAACAUGCUUCCAAGCACGUCUUACAUUGAAAUAAGAUGUAAGAGCCAAAAUGGGUGUUUUUGUCUCCAGAUACUUUUCAAUCACUUCUGCAUAUGUUAAAGCAUGCAUAUGUUAAACAAAAGGAAGUAAAUUUUUUUUUGCCACACAAAGUAUUACUGAAGUAUGGAUUGCCUGGCUCAGCACAUUCUAGAGGUCAGACAGACAAGUGGUUCCAAAAAGUGACUACACAAGUUCAGAGAGUUAGUAAACCACACUAGUCAGGAUGCAGCCUACAGCACUGGGCUUAAGCCACUCCUUGCCAGAAGCUGUGGACAAGCAAAUCUCUCUGUGUUGUUGCUUACAUUGCCUCUCCAAAACAUUGCUAUAGACCUCUCCCAGGGGAAGACUAUGGAUGGCUAGGCCUUGACUGGAUGGCCAUUCUGAUAUUCCUGUGUUCUGCUACACUUCCCUGAUAAAGGACCGUAGUUUUGCCCCAAAAGCAUUCUGAGAAGCACUAGACUGCGUAAGUUAAAGCAUUUUUGGUUGUGCCCUGCAAUAGAGGCAGGGCUAUUAAGCAUCCCUCAGUUCUACCCACCCGUGCCAGGCAGAGACAUCGUAAUCUCGGCGCCUGCCUUCCCCUAGUACUGCUGUCUGUGCUUUGGGCUGUCAGCACAAGGGACCUCUUGUUCCCUUUGUAUGAUCAGACAAGCUGGCUUACAUCAGAAGGAUACUGUGCUGACCCUGAGAGUUCGGUCUCAGGCCCAGGUCUCCCAAUGACUGCCGUGUAUUUUCUGUGCAGUUGCUGCACAAAGAUAUUCUCAAACUAAGGGAAAAUCUUUGCAGGAUCAGGUCUUAAUAAACAUGACAGAAAGGCAAGGAAAAGGGCUACAAGAUGCACCACAGAUGUGGUGAUUUACGGUCACCUGUGUAUACUCUACGCUUCCGGUAAUUACUGUUACACCUGUUCAGUGAUCAUAAUGCUGGAGUCUCAGAGGCCUCUCAGCCCUCAGAGUCACAGUCCAUGUGCAGUACCUUUGCCAACAUUAUUCUCUGCAGUGCCAGGUUGCCUAAAGCAACAGAUUACACCUGAUUUAGCCUGAAGACUAUUCAAAUAACUAGAUGUGGUAUGAAGCAGUGACAGUGCAAUACUCCUCAGGUAUUGUUAUUUAUUAUUUUUUUUUCUAUAUUCUGGCACUGGAGGUCUGAUAUUAUUUCAGAGAUGGAGAAGAGCAGGGUGCAGUUUCUGAAGAACUCAGCAGCCCCAAGUAGGGAUGGCGCAAGAACACCUGGUCCUUCCAGGUCCCUACUGGCUCUCAGCAACCUGCUCCUGUUGCAUUCAACUACUUAGAAGGUAAAGGCUUUGUUCUGCCUUCAGCACACAAGAAGGACCAGACUAUCGUCUGUCCACAGCACAGCCAAGAGCAAGACAUGAACGAAAACUAGAUUAAAUUCAUAGGACAGCAGUAACAAGUGUUCCCCAUAAACACCACAUAAUUAGGCCUUUGCAGGCUAAUUACAGGGUUUCAGAAUAAGAAAGUCCAAAGCCAAUGUCCAAAGGUAAAAAAAAAUAAAAAUACUUCCAUGACAGUCCAGCUGGACAGCAAUGCCACCUGCCGGCAGAUUUCCCAGCACUAAUUAACAGAGAAACAGGCAGCAACUUUCUAACCAGGCGUCUCCUGGCAAAUACAGAUUCCUCACUCUCCGGCUACCUUUCUCUCACACCACUGUCACCCAGAGAGCAGCUCACGAAUGGAGAGCAAAAUGAACACAACUGAUGUUAGCUGUAAUGUUUAGCACCUUAUCGGAAGACAGCACCAGCAGCCAGCAUGCUUGUAUCAGAACAGUUGUCAUCUUAAACAUUGUGUCUCUGUGAUCAAAAUACAUUUCUCAGACUGGAUAUUAAUGAUGUUCUUUCAUGCUGCUUGAACAGACUCAAAACAUGCUCCCUUAGAGCUCUCAGCACCAUGUCCUGCUCUCCCCUCAGAAAACACCAGAUGUUUCACACUCCUUGUGAAUCACAAUUUAAGACCGAAAUUGUGCAGGCAGGAAAAAAAAUACCUGCCGUCAACAGCCAAAUAAAUCAUGAUCUCUGCACUGGACAGUAAUUUUGAUGAUUCGUUUUGUCCAGAGAUGGAAAUAGAAGGCUGUGUGUUUGCCAAUAAUUUUAAAAAGCAGUUUCUCAAAAGCUUAUCGCCCUACAGCUUCGAAUAUCACCAAGUAGCAGACUGGAGGAUUUUCGGAUGUGCCCAGGACCUCAUAUCCUUCAGAAGGACCCACUACCACUUAAAAUCCGGCCAUUUCAUGGAGUGCCCAAAUGAGAGUGGAGCUCCCAAGGUGGAGAGUUGAGCAGAACUUUGUAAACUUGUUUCUAAAUGUGCACAGCAAAGACCAGGAGGAGUAGGUUUAAUACAUACAAUAAAGCAUAUUAGAGCUCCAUCCAGUGGUCACGGCUUCCACCCAGACCUACCAGGGCAGGUUCAGUGGGGGACUUCUGGCCAAGUAACUUCAGCCUCUCUGAGCCCUGCUUUUCACCUGCAUAUACAGCUCACUCGGUUUUCCUCACUGCAGAGGAUGACUGGGACGCUCUUCCAU
Molecule: RNA transcript, 5696 nt
Organism: Chroicocephalus ridibundus (black-headed gull)
Lineage: Eukaryota; Metazoa; Chordata; Aves; Charadriiformes; Laridae
Gene: RD3
Gene name: RD3 regulator of GUCY2D
Exons: 4
Source: RefSeq, a predicted model, not a curated record